GGGAAGAGGGGCAGACCUGAGCUGAAACCAAGAGUCAGCUGACUACCCAGCUGAGCCACCCAGGCACUCCUGGAUGUGCUGAUUUUACUGCUCCUGGAUGCUCCUCCUGGGAAGCAAUGGGGAUUAUGCUGAUGCCAUUCCUCCAAUGACAGACGUCAUGCAACUAGAGCUCAGACAGAAUCCUGGUGCAUUUCUUGAGCAGCAGAAAGCAUCAGAGUUCAGAUAUACAGAAGAAGUAUUGGAUACUUUCCUUAGAAGAUAAAACAGGAGGGACAUUUAAACAACUUCAGGGGAGAAGAAGCACAAGGAAUAUUUUGAGAGGCCCGUAACCUUUGGCUGACACCCAGCAAGGCUAUUAGUUUAACCAUGGGAUGCACUACCAAAUGCAUGAGAGUCAGCGGAACUUCUUUUCUGAAAGUUGAUUUGUAAGAAAAGUUUGGUUAAAGAGACCACAGAAACAGAUGGAAUGGGUGAAAGGGGACAAAAAGACAAGCAUCAAGAAACUUGACUUCCGUUGGUUGGCAUAACUGCAGCUUCUAGUGUCUUUUCAACCAUAUGUUCAAGAUGGAAACUGCAGCUCACAUUUAAAUGUCACGCUGCCCUUGGUUCCAUAAACAUGUAUCAUCCAUCACUAAAUAUUUAGAUCUGAAUUGUUGAAGCUGAGUUCUGUGCCAGGGGUAGGGGGAUUAAUUCCUCUCAAAGUCCUCACAUGAUGGAUUUUCCACUGAAGUAAACAUCCGAGAAGAGCUCACA
Molecule: long non-coding RNA, 753 nt
Organism: Neogale vison (American mink)
Lineage: Eukaryota; Metazoa; Chordata; Mammalia; Carnivora; Mustelidae
Exons: 4
Source: RefSeq, a predicted model, not a curated record